UCAACACUUGCUGGUUUCCUCU
This 22-nucleotide microRNA is filed under the name Sus scrofa (pig). RNAcentral's name for it is "ssc-miR-505". Its record names the gene ssc-miR-505. RNAcentral also lists the same sequence under 2 other names. Lineage: Eukaryota; Metazoa; Chordata; Mammalia; Artiodactyla; Suidae. The record is from miRBase by way of RNAcentral.